GGAAAAGCAUAUGCACAUUGGUAUAGGAAAUGCAUAUGCCAAUUGAAAAAACGUCGUACCUUCGUCUACUUACCAGUGACAAUAUCAGGCAGAAAGCAAUGGAAGUGAAUGGGGCUAAAGCCAUUAGGAACUUUUGAGCUCUGCAUAACGCCGAAGUAGCCUGGAAAAAGCGCCGCCAUUGUUUCCUAUGG
Long non-coding RNA from Alosa sapidissima (American shad), 191 nucleotides. RefSeq lists it as uncharacterized. The transcript is spliced from 4 exons. The record is from RefSeq and is a predicted model, not a curated record. NCBI's taxonomy places the organism in Eukaryota, Metazoa, Chordata, Actinopteri, Clupeiformes, Clupeidae.